RNAcentral lists this ribosomal RNA (484 nucleotides) under uncultured bacterium. RNAcentral's name for it is "partial 16S ribosomal RNA". It matches the Rfam family "Bacterial small subunit ribosomal RNA", at positions 28 to 507 of the family's 1533-position model. The record is from RNAcentral.
GAUUAACGCUAGCGGCAGGCAUAAUACAUGCAAGUUGAACGGCAGCACAGGUAGCAAUACUGGGUGGCGAGUGGCGCACGGGUGCGUAACACGUAUGCAACCUACCCUAUACAGGCGAAUAACCUUUAGAAAUGAGGGCUAAUACGCCGUAGUAUUACAGAUGGGCAUCUAUUUGUAAUUAAAGAUUUAUCGGUAUAGGAUGGGCAUGCGUCCCAUUAGUUAGUUGGUAAGGUAACGGCUUACCAAGACGAUGAUGGGUAGGGGAUCUGAGAGGACUUACCCCCACACUGGUACUGAGACACGGACCAGACUCCUACGGGAGGCAGCAGUAAGGAACAUUGGGCAAUGGCCGCGAGGCUGACCCAGCCAUGCCGCGUGCAGGAAGACGGCCUUAUGGGUUGUAAACUGCUUUUAUACGGGAAUAAUAGUGUGUACGCGUACAUUUAUGCAAGUAUCGUAUGAAUAAGCAUCGGCUAACUCCGUG